UACGUAGGUGGCAAGCGUUGUCCGGAUUUACUGGGCGUAAAGGAUGCGUAGGUGGAUAUUUAAGUGGGAUGUGAAAUACCCGGGCUCAACUUGGGUGCUGCAUUCCAAACUGGAUAUCUAGAGUGCAGGAGAGGUAAGUGGAAUUCCUAGUGUAGCGGUGAAAUGGGUAGAGAUUAGGAAGAACACCAGUGGCGAAGGCGACUUACUGGACUGUAACUGACACUGAGGCAUGAAAGCGUGGGGAGCAAACAGG
RNAcentral lists this ribosomal RNA (253 nucleotides) under uncultured bacterium. Its description in RNAcentral is "partial 16S ribosomal RNA". It matches the Rfam family "Bacterial small subunit ribosomal RNA", at positions 524 to 776 of the family's 1533-position model. The record is from RNAcentral.